CGCGUAGGCGGCUUGGCAAGUUGGGCGUGAAAGCCCUGGGCUUAACCCAGGAAUUGCGCUUGAGACUGCCGGGCUUGAGUGCGGGAGAGGUGAGUGGAAUUCCCAGUGUAGAGGUGAAAUUCGUAGAUAUUGGGAAGAACACCAGUGGCGAAGGCGGCUCACUGGCCCGCAACUGACGCUGAGGCGCGAAAGCGUGGGGAGCAAACAGGAUUAGAUACCCUGGUAGUCCACGCUGUAAACGAUGGGUGCUAGACGUCGGGGGACUUGGUCCCUGGGUGUCGCAGCUAACGCAUGAAGCACCCCGCCUGGGGAGUACGGCCGCAAGGUUAAA
RNAcentral lists this ribosomal RNA (331 nucleotides) under uncultured bacterium. Its description in RNAcentral is "bacterial SSU rRNA". It matches the Rfam family "Bacterial small subunit ribosomal RNA", at positions 568 to 898 of the family's 1533-position model. The record is from RNAcentral.